Molecule: long non-coding RNA, 561 nt
Filed under: Homo sapiens (human)
Lineage: Eukaryota; Metazoa; Chordata; Mammalia; Primates; Hominidae
Description: non-protein coding LINC01411:8
Source: RNAcentral
GCUUGCCCAGCUGAGGCAUUGGAGCAGGGCAUUUUGAUAGUGGCUGGAGGGCAGGCAGCUCAACCUCUAAACCCCCCUGGUCUGGGCACCAAGUCCUGUCCUGGGCACGGGACACAGUCCUCCAGCGAGACCAAACCCAGCUUCUCUACAGCACCAGGAAGAAGGCAAGCUGGGCCACCAGGGCGCGGCCCCAGGAAGGAAAAUCCUCCAUGGUCCUGUUGACAGAUGUGGUAUCAAAUGAAUUGUUCUCUGCUUAGACACGACUUUGAUAUUUAUUGGUUCAAAUUGCUCGGCUGACUCAGUCUUGCGGACUCUGAUUACACUGGACCUAUCCAAGAUCUGAGAUCAUCAACUCAUCUCAAAAUCCUUAAGCUGACCACAGCAGCAUCGUCCCUUUUGCAGUGUAAGGGAGCCCAGCUGGGACAAUGUGUGAAUCAACGCAUGAAGGAGUGAGUGAGCAGCUAACCAAAUGAAAGAAUACUCAGAUAUCUGGGGUACAGUUCCCCUCCAGGUUUGCACAGCAUCUGCUGAAGUCUCCACUAGAAACUCAAUGGAAGGUCC